Long non-coding RNA from Mauremys mutica (yellowpond turtle), 683 nucleotides. RefSeq lists it as uncharacterized. The transcript has 4 exons. Lineage: Eukaryota; Metazoa; Chordata; Testudines; Geoemydidae. The record is from RefSeq and is a predicted model, not a curated record.
GGAAAAACCAGUUUGAUCAAGUUAUAACUAGGCCAGGAGGACAGGGCACAAAGGGGGUGACAAGAUGGAGUUCACAAAAUGCUGGCCUCCUGAUGGCCAGACAUGAGUCACUCAAAGCCUUCAUGAAGCAAGAGGCCAGGCUGCUACUCGCUUCCUAUUUGGGUCCAGCAGGUGAUGGCGAAAGUCCAGUCCCAGUGGAGCCGAGGGAACCUUUCCCAGUUAGCUCAUCAUCACAAGGAUUUGGCAUUUGGUCCCUAUAUAAAGGGAAGAAUCAGAAGCAGAGCUACAGGCAGAGGGAGAGGGACAAAGUGGACAGCUGCCUCUUCUCCUCCACCUUUGAUGCGAUAAGUCAGAGGGGCUGGAGCUGCUGAACAAUGCGCUCGGACAUGGGGCUCGGAAAGGCCAAGCUGCUCCUGUGGGCCAGGAUGGUCGUGCUCUGGGGCAUGCCUAACCUUCCUCUCAGUGUGGUAUCUGGGGAAAUUCUGGGGCCUUCCCCUCCGCGCCUUCUUGGAAGAGAAUUCAUCACAGCCUUCAUGCAGAACGGCUUACAACAAACACUCAACAGCGACUUCCGGCUAUUCAUCACAGGCUACGCCCCGGCCACAUUGAUCACCAUCUCCAUGAAGAAGCCGGCGCUCAGGGUGCCCAUCCAGGUGAAUGCUGGCCAGACCGCAACGGUGUUA